ACUGAAGUAUAGAGGGUGAAUUCUGCCCAAUGGUUGUAUAGUGAAACUGAGGACUAACGUCUAAGGCGAAACCCAACUGAAUGGCCGCGGUAACUCUGACCGUGAUAAUGUAGCACAAUAAAUAGCCAAUUAAUUGUUGGCGGGUAUGAAUGGAACCACGAGGGUCUUACUGUCUCAAGAGGAAAGCCAAUGAAAUUAUAGUUGUAGUGAAGAUACUACAUAAACAUUGUAAGACGAAAAGACCCUAUCGAGCUUUACUGGAUACCGAUAGCGUUAACUUAGAAUGAUCGAUACUAAGUAUCCUAAUCCUAAGUUAAUAAUUUUUGUCGGUAAGACAGUUUAGUUGGGGCGACUACCUUUGAAUAAGAAACGAAGGCGAGCUUAUGGUAUUAUUAAAAUCUCAUUAGCCUCACAGUGAGGGGGACAUCCCUAGCUGGCACAAGGAGUUCCACACAGUACUUAGACAUAGUACGUACAUAGUGGAUUCCUAUGUGGGCGAUAAUGACCCGAUAUGAUUAUCCAAAAUAAAUAUCGAAAGCGGAUAAAAGCUACCGUAGGGAUAACAGCGUAAUAUUGUCGGAGAGUUCUUAUCGAGGACAGUGUUUGCGACCUCGAUGUUGAAUUGCGGUGCCCUGGUGCUGUAGAAGGUACCUUAGGUUGGUCUGUUCGACCA
RNAcentral lists this ribosomal RNA (673 nucleotides) under Telestula cf. spiculicola JNT-2010. Its description in RNAcentral is "partial 16S ribosomal RNA". It matches the Rfam family "Bacterial large subunit ribosomal RNA", at positions 1837 to 2587 of the family's 2925-position model. Lineage: Eukaryota; Metazoa; Cnidaria; Anthozoa; Scleralcyonacea; Sarcodictyonidae. The record is from RNAcentral.